Molecule: long non-coding RNA, 1076 nt
Filed under: Nicotiana tabacum (common tobacco)
Lineage: Eukaryota; Viridiplantae; Streptophyta; Magnoliopsida; Solanales; Solanaceae
Description: long non-coding RNA (NTAB_LNC011487)
Source: RNAcentral
UUGUACCUCCAAAUUAUUGGGGAAGUCUCUCUUUGUAUGUCUGCUAAAUAUUUUAGUGGAAGUUGGUGUCGGAUUUGUGGACGUAGCCUAAACGUUUUAGGUGAACCACGUUAAAUAUUGUAUCAUUUAUUUUUGGUUUCGUUGAUCAUUUAUUUUAUUCCGCUGUGCAGUAUUGUUUAGUGCCACCGGGUCCUAACAUGCAGUGAGUGCUUCCUAUGUGUGAAGUAAUCUGAGAGCAUUUGUCAUUUGUUUUUGCACUGCCAAGUUACAUCCCAACUGUGGCAGCUCUUCAUGAACAUUGUUGGUCUGCAGUGUAUCAUGUCUAGAUCAACAACAUAGGUGGUGGAACACGAUACUGGUGAUAAUAGGUGAAAUCUAGGUGAUUUAGCUAUUGUUUAUGCUUCCGCUUGAUUUUAUUCCAAUGACAUAUUAUGGUUAAUUGAUGAAAAAUAGGCUCUAAUUGUGAUAUGUAUACAUUGCAGAAUGAGGAGCCUAUAUGCUGCUUUCAAGAGGAUAUUGGAAUGAUUUAUGAGCGAGAACAACCCCUCGGAGUCGAGUGUGCGCAAGGACGAGACGAAAAAUGGACGAAAUCAAGCGUCAGACGCGCGAAGAAACGCGCGAAGUCGCGCAGUAGUUCGCGCAUAAGAAGAGCUGAGGCAGAAUCACGCGCGAAGAAACGCGCGAAGUUGUGCGCGUCCGAUCCAAAAAAGUUAUUUAGGGGUAAAAUUGGAAAUCUGGGGAAAACCCCACUUAACCUAUAUAAAGUCAAGCUCGCCCAAGGUUAAAGGAUGGAGGGUUUUCAUAGUUUAGUGGAAGAAAUAGAGAGUCAAGAGGCAAGUAGGACGUUUUUGAGAGGAAAACACGAGCAUAGAGCCGCCGUGGAGGCCGGAAUUCAUCGGGUUUCAUCUUUCUUCCUCCAAACUUAGUAAUUUUUAUGUUUCUUUGUAUGAGUUGUUGUUUUGCUACCAUGUCUAUGUGGAGCUAAACUUCACGUUCUAGGGUUGUGGUUCUUUCAUGACUAUUGUUAUUCGGAUAUUGAGUUUGAUUUCUUAGUUUAUAAUAUUGGUUUAUUUAUU